CGUCAUUGUGCGACUUCGCGCGGCCGACCUGAAAAGACAUGGCUGCCCACGGUGAUAGCUAGAUAUUUUCAAACGCUCAUUUCAGGAUUAAAAAAGGAAUUGUUGUCAAAGAGGCUGAAAAAGUUUACCCCAACAUGGAGGAUGAAUGGGAAGAAGAGGAGCAGCUCGUUGUGGUCGAGCUGUCAGGAAUGAUAAAUUCAGACUUUCUAACCAAAUGUCAGGGGAAAUUAAAAGUUGUGGGGAUAGACACCGAACAACCUAUGAUGCAAGUGGGAAAUUAUGUAUUUGCAGGGGAAUAUGAAGAUGCUCUGGCUACUUGUGUGAUAUUUGAAGAAAGCAGUGGCAGUAACGGUGAGGCAGAGUCCAGCCCCAAACUCAAGUACAAGUGCCACACCGUGAAGAAGCUCAUGAUGCAGCGCACCUUCCUCUCUGAGAGGAAAGAGGGAGAAUCCAGCUCAGAGGGCAUCGAAUUUUUACAGCUGAACGACGGAGAGGAGCGCCAACGAAGCUGGAUCUGCAACUUUGACCACGACCCGAGCGUGACGGCAGAGUCCGGUAAACGUGGCGUGAAGGAGGGGUCGGAAUCUGGCAACCGAAGCCCCGUUUUCGAAUCGGGAACUGGCAACCGAAGCCCCGGGUCCGAUUCGGACGCAGAGGCCAGCGACUCGGAGCAGGUGGGGCGUAGUAACGAAGGCGCCGAGAUGGAUUUGGAUCCGGGAACCUCGGUUUGCCGAGAGCCUGCGGACGGCUUGGAUGCCGGAGACUAAAAGGAUGCAGGUGGAGGGAAAUUCCACCCCUGCGGAGCUGCUACUAAUUCAGACCCAAGAAACCAGAUGAGGUGGGCUGACUGCGUAAUCCACCGUGCUGAUUAACUAAGACCAGCAGACCCUGCGGAGGCUACCCAGGACCAAGAAUAAAGAUCGGGACUUUACAGACUGUAAAUGGUUUAUUUAAAAUAGGGCUGCUCAUCCCUGUUCCCUGGAGAGCUACAGUCCUGCAGGUUUUCAUUUCAACACUAAUUUGGCACACCUGAUUCUAAUUAGCCGCUCAAGGUUGAGCACAACUGAUAUGAAACGACUUCGAAAUCUGUCUAAAAACGGCUGCACCAGGGACCCAGCAGUGGACAGUUUUGUGACGAUGGGCGGGAUCCUCAAGAUAUACGUGCUUGGCACGUUGCUGUCUGUUGUAGUUGCGAUAAUUGCACUUGUAGACUCCGUUGGAGGUUUGAUGUACUGUCGGGGACAAGAUCUCAGCGAAACGGAAAACAUCGGUGUGACACAAAAACAUUCCUCUGGGAUCCGUUCGAGAAGCACUGCAGCAGCAUUACCAAGAUGACUCGUGCAUAUUUGACUCAAAUGUCGUUUUUAUUCAUCUGACAAGGAACACAGUGCAAUGGGGGUAUCGAUCAAAACCGUGUCCGUGGUCAAAAUACUUUGCUUUCGAACUGACAGAUUUCACGCAACAAAUGCUUUGCUAUCACGAACAACGGAAACCACUUUGUGUUUUGGACCGCCACUGAUGAGGAAUGCUGCACUUUGACCACGAGUCUGUGAACCAACUGAAGAUGUGGAUAUAAGCCUCAGCUGAAGCACGGGAGUGUGAAAUGGGACAUUUUCUUGAUGGCUCGGGGCAGCUGACUGACUAACGGACAGGCUGCCGUCGCAAUGAAGCACCAUUUGCACUAGAACUUGUCCCCCCCCAUUUUGUUAACUUUUUGUUUGUUUUUGUAUGGCUAAAAGGUGUAUUUUAGAAAUAAAGGUUGACAUCAGUUGUUUGCAAUUAA
Molecule: RNA transcript, 1783 nt
Organism: Anguilla anguilla (European eel)
Lineage: Eukaryota; Metazoa; Chordata; Actinopteri; Anguilliformes; Anguillidae
Gene: gtf3c6
Gene name: general transcription factor IIIC, polypeptide 6, alpha
Exons: 8
Source: RefSeq, a predicted model, not a curated record